This 394-nucleotide long non-coding RNA is filed under the name Marmota monax (woodchuck). The record is from RNAcentral. Lineage: Eukaryota; Metazoa; Chordata; Mammalia; Rodentia; Sciuridae.
GCUGGCGCGGGGGCGGAGCCGCGGAUAGAGUUAGGGACGUAGUCCCGCACCCUUGGCGCGCGCCUGGCCUUCAUCGUGGGGCCGAGAGUUGGUUUUAGUGGUGGGAGAGGGAAUGGGGAUGGGGGUUGGGGGCCCCCAGGGCUCCCGAGGCUGAAGACAGCUUGGAUCGCCAGCCGAGGGAGUGGGGAGUUGCGCAUCCCUGCCCGGGCCUCUGCCGCCCAACAUGGGCCCCGGGUUCCAAAGUUUGCGAAGUUGGGCGCCAAGGGGCCGGGGCGCACUGAGCGUCUGGGAGAAGCCGGCCCCGAACUCAAGGGGCGCACAGGUCGCUUGAGCCGCCUCCGCGGCCCCCAGGGUUGUGAGUGUGGCCGGGGGGCUCUGGGGAGCGGGCGGGGGC